RNAcentral lists this long non-coding RNA (1200 nucleotides) under Homo sapiens (human). RNAcentral describes it as "HSALNT0023412". Lineage: Eukaryota; Metazoa; Chordata; Mammalia; Primates; Hominidae. The record is from RNAcentral.
AAGCAGCACAGAAGAGGGGGAAGGGAGAUUUAGAUACAUUUUAUCUUUAUCUUUAGUUCUGAUAGGAUAUGGCUCACACAUCCCAAACCCUAACCCUGCUUAAUCUCCUUACUUGUGGGGAAUUCAGCUACAUCUAAAUGUUUAUGUGCUGCUGAUGGUGGCAGGGGACAUCUGUUUCAGAGAGCUCAACACUGAGUUGGCAUUCAGCACCCUGGACUUUUGACUGUUGUUAGAGUCCAGGUGGAUCUGAUGGCUGGAGCCCCAGCAGCCACCGUGGACCUGGCAGUAACCCUGAAAAUGGAAACCAAGUACUGAGGAUGAUGGAAAAGAAAGUGCCUGAUAACUUCAUGGAAACACCGCAUCAUCUUUGGGCUGCCUCAUCCGGAAUUUUGUGUGAUGGAAGAGAUCAUUGUGUGUUUAAGCCACUAUUAUUUGGGUUUUCUAAUAUAUACAGCUAAUGCUAACCCUAACAGAAGAUAAAAUGAGCCUUUUUAGAUAAGUAUGUGUCCUGCACUGGACAGAGAGUUUCUAAGAAACAGAUAGAAGAUUCUCAAAAUUCCUAGCCAAUUGUCAAGGAGAAAAUGAAAUAACCAGUUAAUAGCUCUCUCAUCUCAGUUAUUUAGAACUGGCCAGGAUCAAGGUGUCACCAUUUAACUGGUAGCAGCUACCAGUGCUAGUACCAGCAAAGGUGACGUAGCAUCCUAGAAAAGUAAAAGCACUUUUUUUUUUGAGACAGAGUCUCGCUCUGUCGCCCAGGCUGGAGUGCAGUGGCACGAACUUGGCUCAUUGCAAGAUCUGCCUCCUGGGUUCACACCAUUCUCCUGCCUCAGCUUCCCAAGUAACUGAGACUACAGGCACCCGCCACUACACCUGGCUAAUUUUUUCUAUUUUUAGUAGAGACGGGGUUUCACUGUGUUAGCCGGGAUGGUCUCGAUCUCCUGACCUUGUGAUCCGCCCGCCUUGGCCUCCCAGAGUGCUGGGAUUACAGGCGUUAGCCACCGCGCCCAGCCAAGAGUGAAAGCAUUUUUAAAUUUUGCCUCUCCAGCUUCUUCUACUAACCAAAUUUCACAUGGUCAUUUACUAAUUAGACUCAAAGGAAACCAGCAGCUGCCUCACCAGAAGCUAAUAAAAUAUAAUGCAACUGUUCCCACUGAUUCUGGACUGGUUUGUCAAUCCAUUGACCAGGUGAGUCUGAACCAG